RNAcentral lists this ribosomal RNA (521 nucleotides) under uncultured bacterium. Its description in RNAcentral is "bacterial SSU rRNA". It matches the Rfam family "Bacterial small subunit ribosomal RNA", at positions 1 to 518 of the family's 1533-position model. The record is from RNAcentral.
GUCGUCGACGUACGUCUACGAGAGUUAGUAGUCUACGUGGCUACGAGGACGAACGCUGGCGGCACGCUUAACACAUGCAAGUCGAACGGAGAAUUUGGAUUAUUCGGAAUUCUUAGUGGCGGACGGGUGAGUAACACGUGAGCAACCUACCUUAGAGAGAGGGAUAGCUUCUGGAAACGGAUGGUAAUACCUCAUAACAUAGUUAGAAGGCAUCUUUUGACUAUCAAAGAUUUAUCACUCUGAGAUGGGCUCGCGUCUGAUUAGAUAGUUGGUGAGGUAACGGCUCACCAAGUCGACGAUCAGUAGCCGGACUGAGAGGUUGAACGGCCACAUUGGGACUGAGACACGGCCCAGACUCCUACGGGAGGCAGCAGUGGGGAAUAUUGCACAAUGGGGGAAACCCUGAAUGCAGCGAUGCCGCGUGGAGGAAGAAGGUUUUCGGAUUGUAAACUCCUGUCUUAAAGGACGAUAAUGACGGUACUUUAGGAGGAAGCUCCGGCUAACUACGUGCCAGCAGCCGC